This 360-nucleotide ribosomal RNA is filed under the name uncultured Streptococcus sp. RNAcentral's name for it is "bacterial SSU rRNA". It matches the Rfam family "Bacterial small subunit ribosomal RNA", at positions 28 to 380 of the family's 1533-position model. Lineage: Bacteria; Bacillati; Bacillota; Bacilli; Lactobacillales; Streptococcaceae. The record is from RNAcentral.
GACGAACGCUGGCGGCGUGCCUAAUACAUGCUAGUAGAACGCUGAAGGAGGAGCUUGCUUCUCUGGAUGAGUUGCGAACGGGUGAGUAACGCGUAGGUAACCUGCCUGGUAGCGGGGGAUAACUAUUGGAAACGAUAGCUAAUACCGCAUAAGAGUGGAUGUUGCAUGACAUUUGCUUAAAAGGUGCACUUGCAUCACUACCAGAUGGACCUGCGUUGUAUUAGCUAGUUGGUGGGGUAAGGGCUCACCAAGGCGACGAUACAUAGCCGACCUGAGAGGGUGAGCGGCCACACUGGGACUGAGACGCGACCCAGACUCCUACCGAACCCCGCGAUAUGGAAUCUUAUAAUAUGGAGGGGA